GACGAACGCUGGCGGCGUGCUUAACACAUGCAAGUCGAACGGAAAGGCCCUGCUUUUGUGGGGUGCUCGAGUGGCGAACGGGUGAGUAACACGUGAGUAACCUGCCCUUGACUUUGGGAUAACUUCAGGGAACUGGGGCUAAUACCGGAUAGGAGCUCCUGCUGCAUGGGGGGGGUUGGAAAGUUUCGGCGGUUGGGGAUGGACUCGCGGCUUAUCAGCUUGUUGGUGGGGUAGUGGCUUACAAAGGCUUUGACGGGUAGCCGGCCUGAGAGGGUGACCGGCCACAUUGGGCCUGCGAUACGGCCCAGACUCCUACGGGCGGCAGCAGUGGGGAAUAUUGCACAAUGGGCGGAAGCCUGAUGCAGCAACGCCGCGUGCGUGAUGACGGCCUUCGGGUUGUAAACCGCUUUCGCCUGUGACGAAGCGUGAGUGACGGUAAUGGGUAAAGAAGCACCGGCUAACUACGUG
RNAcentral lists this ribosomal RNA (468 nucleotides) under uncultured bacterium. Its description in RNAcentral is "partial 16S ribosomal RNA". It matches the Rfam family "Bacterial small subunit ribosomal RNA", at positions 28 to 507 of the family's 1533-position model. The record is from RNAcentral.